AUUGAACGCUGGCGGCAGGCCUAACACAUGCAAGUCGAACGGUAACAGGAAGCAGCUUGCUGCUUCGCUGACGAGUGGCGGACGGGUGAGUAAUGUCUGGGAAACUGCCUGAUGGAGGGGGAUAACUACUGGAAACGGUAGCUAAUACCGCAUAACGUCGCAAGACCAAAGAGGGGGACCUUAGGGCCUCUUGCCAUCGGAUGUGCCCAGAUGGGAUUAGCUAGUAGGUGGGGUAACGGCUCACCUAGGCGACGAUCCCUAGCUGGUCUGAGAGGAUGACCAGCCACACUGGAACUGAGACACGGUCCAGACUCCUACGGGAGGCAGCAGUGGGGAAUAUUGCACAAUGGGCGCAAGCCUGAUGCAGCCAUGCCGCGUGUAUGAAGAAGGCCUUCGGGUUGUAAAGUACUUUCAGCGGGGAGGAAGGGAGUAAAGUUAAUACCUCUGCUCAUUGGCGUUACCCGCAGAAGAAGCACCGGCUAACUCCGUG
RNAcentral lists this ribosomal RNA (490 nucleotides) under uncultured bacterium. RNAcentral's name for it is "partial 16S ribosomal RNA". It matches the Rfam family "Bacterial small subunit ribosomal RNA", at positions 30 to 507 of the family's 1533-position model. The record is from RNAcentral.